This 429-nucleotide ribosomal RNA is filed under the name Fusobacteriota bacterium. RNAcentral's name for it is "Fusobacteria bacterium partial 16S ribosomal RNA". It matches the Rfam family "Bacterial small subunit ribosomal RNA", at positions 355 to 776 of the family's 1533-position model. Lineage: Bacteria; Fusobacteriati; Fusobacteriota. The record is from RNAcentral.
UGGGGAAUAUUGCGCAAUGGGCGAAAGCCUGACGCAGCGACGCCGCGUGAGGGAUGAAGGUUUUCGGAUCGUAAACCUCUGUCAGAAGGGAAGAAACCGCACUGUGCUAAUGAGCAGUGCCUUGACGGUACCUUCAAAGGAAGCACCGGCUAACUCCGUGCCAGCAGCCGCGGUAAUACGGAGGGUGCAAGCGUUAAUCGGAAUUACUGGGCGUAAAGCGCACGUAGGCUGCUUUGUAAGUCAGGGGUGAAAUCCCACGGCUCAACCGUGGAACUGCCUUUGAUACUGCUUAGCUUGAAUCCGGGAGAGGGUGGCGGAAUUCCAGGUGUAGGAGUGAAAUCCGUAGAUAUCUGGAGGAACAUCAGUGGCGAAGGCGGCCACCUGGACCGGUAUUGACGCUGAGGUGCGAAAGCGUGGGGAGCAAACAGG